AUGGGAAGUUUUUUAUGUUGUAACCGAAGAAAGAAGAAACCUGAAAACACUGAUAAUGACAAUCAGACAGAAACAGCAGCAGACACAAAGACAGAAGAUGUGCUCUAUGCCUCCAUUGACCACGGUAACAUCAGUCCAAACAGACCUGUUCGAGACAACGUGGAGGACAACGACUGUGAUUAUGCUGUUGUAAAGCUCCCUCAAAUCACAACAGACACGUCCAAGCACAAAAUCAUCGAGGACAGUUCAGAUGAUUAUGUGCUCAUGGGCUGA
Cyprinus carpio (common carp) is the source of this 273-nucleotide long non-coding RNA. NCBI's taxonomy places the organism in Eukaryota, Metazoa, Chordata, Actinopteri, Cypriniformes, Cyprinidae. The record is from Ensembl.